ACAACAUUCGGACCGUCGGUCUACCGCUCGGUGGAAGAUCUUUCCUUUCGUCGU
Molecule: microRNA precursor, 54 nt
Filed under: Bombyx mori (domestic silkworm)
Lineage: Eukaryota; Metazoa; Arthropoda; Insecta; Lepidoptera; Bombycidae
Description: mir-2774 microRNA precursor family
Rfam family: mir-2774 microRNA precursor family
Source: Rfam by way of RNAcentral